CAGUCGCCGCGGGAACACGUAGGUGGCAAGCGUUGUCCGGAAUUAUUGGGCGUAAAGGGAGCGCAGGCGGACAUAUAAGUCCAUCUUAAAAGUGCGGGGCUCAACCCCGUGAGGGGAUGGAAACUGUAUGCCUUGAGUGCAGGAGAGGAAAGCGGAAUUCCCAGUGUAGCGGUGAAAUGCGUAGAUAUUGGGAGGAACACCAGUGGCGAAGGCGGCUUUCUGGACUGCAACUGACGCUGAGGCUCGAAAGCCAGGGGAGCGAACGGGAUUAGAGACCCGCGUAGUCCCUGUCUCUUAUACA
Molecule: ribosomal RNA, 301 nt
Filed under: uncultured bacterium
Lineage: Bacteria
Description: partial 16S ribosomal RNA
Rfam family: Bacterial small subunit ribosomal RNA
Source: RNAcentral